UAAGACCUGAAGGAGAUAUCCCACAUCAUCUGAUUGCAACUCAGACAUUUUACUUAAACUAAAGCCUA
Molecule: transfer RNA, 68 nt
Filed under: Trapelus persicus
Lineage: Eukaryota; Metazoa; Chordata; Lepidosauria; Squamata; Agamidae
Description: tRNA-Ala
Source: RNAcentral